This 1468-nucleotide ribosomal RNA is filed under the name Salmonella enterica. RNAcentral describes it as "partial 23S ribosomal RNA". It matches the Rfam family "Bacterial large subunit ribosomal RNA", at positions 1496 to 2925 of the family's 2925-position model. The record is from RNAcentral. Lineage: Bacteria; Pseudomonadati; Pseudomonadota; Gammaproteobacteria; Enterobacterales; Enterobacteriaceae.
CGACGGUUGUCCCGGUUUAAGCGUGUAGGUGUGUGUUCCAGGUAAAUCCGGUUCACUUUAACACUGAGGCGUGAUGACGAGGCACUACGGUGCUGAAGCAACAAAUGCCCUGCUUCCAGGAAAAGCCUCUAAGCAUCAGGUAACAUCAAAUCGUACCCCAAACCGACACAGGUGGUCAGGUAGAGAAUACCAAGGCGCUUGAGAGAACUCGGGUGAAGGAACUAGGCAAAAUGGUGCCGUAACUUCGGGAGAAGGCACGCUGACACGUAGGUGAAGUGAUUUACUCAUGGAGCUGAAGUCAGUCGAAGAUACCAGCUGGCUGCAACUGUUUAUUAAAAACACAGCACUGUGCAAACACGAAAGUGGACGUAUACGGUGUGACGCCUGCCCGGUGCCGGAAGGUUAAUUGAUGGGGUCAGCGCAAGCGAAGCUCCUGAUCGAAGCCCCGGUAAACGGCGGCCGUAACUAUAACGGUCCUAAGGUAGCGAAAUUCCUUGUCGGGUAAGUUCCGACCUGCACGAAUGGCGUAAUGAUGGCCAGGCUGUCUCCACCCGAGACUCAGUGAAAUUGAACUCGCUGUGAAGAUGCAGUGUACCCGCGGCAAGACGGAAAGACCCCGUGAACCUUUACUAUAGCUUGACACUGAACAUUGAGCCUUGAUGUGUAGGAUAGGUGGGAGGCUUUGAAGUGUGGACGCCAGUCUGCAUGGAGCCGACCUUGAAAUACCACCCUUUAAUGUUUGAUGUUCUAACGUGGACCCGUAAUCCGGGUUGCGGACAGUGUCUGGUGGGUAGUUUGACUGGGGCGGUCUCCUCCUAAAGAGUAACGGAGGAGCACGAAGGUUGGCUAAUCCUGGUCGGACAUCAGGAGGUUAGUGCAAUGGCAUAAGCCAGCUUGACUGCGAGCGUGACGGCGCGAGCAGGUGCGAAAGCAGGUCAUAGUGAUCCGGUGGUUCUGAAUGGAAGGGCCAUCGCUCAACGGAUAAAAGGUACUCCGGGGAUAACAGGCUGAUACCGCCCAAGAGUUCAUAUCGACGGCGGUGUUUGGCACCUCGAUGUCGGCUCAUCACAUCCUGGGGCUGAAGUAGGUCCCAAGGGUAUGGCUGUUCGCCAUUUAAAGUGGUACGCGAGCUGGGUUUAGAACGUCGUGAGACAGUUCGGUCCCUAUCUGCCGUGGGCGCUGGAGAACUGAGGGGGGCUGCUCCUAGUACGAGAGGACCGGAGUGGACGCAUCACUGGUGUUCGGGUUGUCAUGCCAAUGGCACUGCCCGGUAGCUAAAUGCGGAAGAGAUAAGUGCUGAAAGCAUCUAAGCACGAAACUUGCCCCGAGAUGAGUUCUCCCUGAGACUUUAAGUCUCCUGAAGGAACGUUGAAGACGACGACGUUGAUAGGCCGGGUGUGUAAGCGCAGCGAUGCGUUGAGCUAACCGGUACUAAUGAACCGUGAGGCUUAACCUUACAACGCCGAAG